CCAAUAGCGUAUAUUAAAGUUGUUGCAGUUAAAAAGCUCGUCGUUGAAUUUCGGGAUCAGACUGUCGGUCGUGCCUCGGUACGCACUGGCAUUAUUGGUUCCUACCUUCUGAAGAACCGCGAUGUCAUUAAUUUGGUGUCGUGGGGAAUCAGGACUGUUACUUUGAAAAAAUUAGAGUGUUUAAAGCAGGCGCACGCUUGAAUACAUUAGCAUGGAAUAAUGAAAUAGGACGUUUGAUUCUAUUUUGUUGGUUUCUAGGAUCGACGUAAUGAUUAAUAGGGAUAGUUGGGGGCAUUAGUAUUCAAUUGUCAGAGGUGAAAUUCUUGGAUUUAUUGAAGACUAACUACUGCGAAAGCAUUUGCCAAGGAUGUUUUCAUUAAUCAAGAACGAAAGUUAGGGGAUCGAAGACGAUCAGAUACCGUCGUAGUCUUAACCAUAAACUAUGCCGACUAGGGAUCGGAUGAUGUUAAUUUUAUAAUGACUCAUUCGGCGCCUUACG
Molecule: ribosomal RNA, 499 nt
Filed under: uncultured Glomeromycotina
Lineage: Eukaryota; Fungi; Glomeromycota
Description: partial small subunit ribosomal RNA
Rfam family: Eukaryotic small subunit ribosomal RNA
Source: RNAcentral